GAAGCGAGCCUGUGAGGGGGGAGGCAAAUCCCAGAAAUAACGUCCCAGUUCGGAUUGCAGUCUGCAACUCGACUGCAUGAAGCUGGAAUCGCUAGUAAUCGCGAAUCAGCAUGUCGCGGUGAAUACGUUCCCGGGUCUUGUACACACCGCCCGUCACACCAUGGGAGUCGGAAAUGCCCGAAGCCAGUGACCCAACCUUUAAGGAGGGAGCUGUCGAAGGCAGGUCUGGUAACUGGGGUGAAGUCGUAACAAGGUACC
Molecule: ribosomal RNA, 258 nt
Filed under: uncultured bacterium
Lineage: Bacteria
Description: partial 16S ribosomal RNA
Rfam family: Bacterial small subunit ribosomal RNA
Source: RNAcentral